GGGGAAUCUUAGACAAUGGGCGCAAGCCUGAUCUAGCCAUGCCGCGUGAGCGAUGAAGGCCUUAGGGUUGUAAAGCUCUUUCAGUGGGGAAGAUAAUGACUGUACCCACAGAAGAAGCCCCGGCUAACUCCGUGCCAGCAGCCGCGGUAAUACGGAGGGGGCUAGCGUUGUUCGGAAUUACUGGGCGUAAAGCGCACGUAGGCGGACCGGAAAGUCAGAGGUGAAAUCCCAGGGCUCAACCUUGGAACUGCCUUUGAAACUCCUGGUCUUGAGGUCGAGAGAGGUGAGUGGAAUUCCGAGUGUAGAGGUGAAAUUCGUAGAUAUUCGGAGGAACACCAGUGGCGAAGGCGGCUCACUGGCUCGAUACUGACGCUGAGGUGCGAAAGCGUGGGGAGCAAAC
This 400-nucleotide ribosomal RNA is filed under the name uncultured bacterium. RNAcentral describes it as "bacterial SSU rRNA". It matches the Rfam family "Bacterial small subunit ribosomal RNA", at positions 356 to 773 of the family's 1533-position model. The record is from RNAcentral.